Molecule: ribosomal RNA, 434 nt
Filed under: uncultured bacterium
Lineage: Bacteria
Description: bacterial SSU rRNA
Rfam family: Bacterial small subunit ribosomal RNA
Source: RNAcentral
AUUGAACGCUGGCGGCAGGCCUAACACAUGCAAGUCGAGCGAGACCUUCGGGGUCUAGCGGCGGACGGGUGAGUAACGCGUGGGAACGUGCCCUUCUCUACGGAAUAGUCCCGGGAAACUGGGUUUAAUACCGUAUACGCCCUUCGGGGGAAAGAUUUAUCGGAGAAGGAUCGGCCCGCGUUAGAUUAGAUAGUUGGUGGGGUAACGGCCUACCAAGUCUACGAUCUAUAGCUGGUUUUAGAGGAUGAUCAGCAACACUGGGACUGAGACACGGCCCAGACUCCUACGGGAGGCAGCAGUGGGGAAUCUUAGACAAUGGGCGCAAGCCUGAUCUAGCCAUGCCGCGUGAGUGAUGAAGGCCUUAGGGUCGUAAAGCUCUUUCGCCUGUGAUGAUAAUGACAGUAGCAGGUAAAGAAACCCCGGCUAACUUCGUG